RNAcentral lists this ribosomal RNA (432 nucleotides) under Triticum aestivum (bread wheat). Its description in RNAcentral is "partial small subunit ribosomal RNA". The record is from RNAcentral. Lineage: Eukaryota; Viridiplantae; Streptophyta; Magnoliopsida; Poales; Poaceae.
AUGAAUAAUGGAACAUUUGGGACCACAGAUGUGACCAACUCUCCAUUCUGCAGUGUUGGGCUGCUAUGGGCACUACAACAACAAUGUGCACAUAAGUCAUGGAUUCUAUUCAUCCGCCUUAUUCUCUACAGCCCUCUUUCUCUGCAUUUAGGCUUGAAUUUGAUGAUUGAUACCAUCACCAUCAUGGUGCAUAGUAUGUAUGCAAAACAUUCUUAUCAUGCUUCAGCUCUUAAUGUCAAACAAGUUGGAGGAAUUGAGGCCAGGAUCAUGGAAAUACUUUCGUGUUUUGUCACAAUACAAUCUUCAACAGUAAAACCGCAACAGCCAAUACAGUUGGCACUAUUCACCGUCAAGCACAGAAGCAGAGGUGUUGUACUGUUCCACUACGUCCCUGCGGGAGGAUCAACCACACCUGAACAUUCUGAAUCAUAG